This is a long non-coding RNA of Chiroxiphia lanceolata (lance-tailed manakin), 466 nucleotides long. RefSeq lists it as uncharacterized. The record is from RefSeq and is a predicted model, not a curated record. The transcript has 3 exons. NCBI's taxonomy places the organism in Eukaryota, Metazoa, Chordata, Aves, Passeriformes, Pipridae.
UUUAUUGGUAUUUUUUAGAAAAACCUGCCUAUAUAUUUCUUACCAGUGGCAGUGUCUACUCAAAUUUUAGACCAUACAACCCAUGCCAAGACAAGCCUUGCAUGGAGCUACCACUGCAUGUUCUAUACUUUGCAACAAAUGAAUGCAGGUAAAUAGUGAGUCAUUGGAGAGAGUUGCUUUACUCCCUAUGGAAUACAAGCAAGGGACUAGAAAUAUUACUGAGGGGAAACUGUUCAGAGAGCUUUCUUAACUGCCAGUUGCUGGGGAGCUAAAAUCUGAACAGUACAGAGCUCUUGGGCUGUCUCUCUGAAAGCAUGAGACAGAAGAUCUGCAAUAUUCAGAGAGGAGAAAUUACAGGUAAGUAAUUUGCUUUUGUAGUACUGCAAUUUAAGGAUGGAUGAAGUAAGGCAUUUGAUCCCAUUGAUUAAAAUCUGUAUACAAAUUUUGGAAUAAACCUGUGUGUUCU